Molecule: long non-coding RNA, 936 nt
Organism: Eucalyptus grandis
Lineage: Eukaryota; Viridiplantae; Streptophyta; Magnoliopsida; Myrtales; Myrtaceae
Exons: 3
Source: RefSeq, a predicted model, not a curated record
GUCAUACCACGCCUGGUGCCCGUCUGAGCUCCUGAUGCUCUGCGAGGGCAACAUCAGGGCCGCCAAGCUCGCCCUCGAGAAGGACGGCCUCGUCCUCCCCCGCUACUGUGACUCUGCCAAGGUCGUCAGCUACCAGCCUCCGCCGAUCGCCGGUCGCCAGCCACCGGACGCGUCCCACCACUAUUUACCAUUUCUCUUUAAAUAAAGUUGUAUCCAACAAAAAGUAUUCUAGGGGGAGAAAUCGCUGGACGCCUGUCGAUGUUGUAUAUUGGUAGGUUAGUCUUGUAGGAAAGGGAAUAAUUGUUAUUAUUGUACCGCGCAAAGAGUGUCGUGCCCAUACUCUAUUACGAGCUAUCAAGGUCUUAGAGAAGAGGAUAAAAAACAUCAUCCGCCUGUAUCGGAUGAUGAAGUCCGGUGGUUGAAGAAGAUUGCCAAAGAUGGGAAAAUCUCACUAAACUGAGUGAAGCUAGAAUAAGGGCUUCCUUAGCUAAUUUGUCUCAAAACUUCACCUAAUAGCUUAGAGAUUUUUUAGUUGCACAACAAGUUUUGUUUGGCCUAUUGAUCUUGGUAUUACUGCAAUUUCAUCCUCUACUCACUUUACAGCGUACAAGAAACACUAUCCACCAGCAUCUGACGAUGACAUCUGGAGAUUGGAAAGCAUCGCGAAGGAUGGAUCAUUUCACAAGAAGCUGGUUGAUACAGGAAUAUGUAAGGUGGAAGAGUUUUUACGACGACUCUCCAUGGACCCUGAGAAACUGAGAGAUAUUCUUGGCAUGACAGAGAAGAAGUGGAAAGCCCUCCUAGUUCAUGCAAAAACUUGCACUCCGAAUGGGAAACUCUACGUGUAUAAUGAAAAUGAUUGCGGUGUUAUAUUCAACAGCGUUGGUCAAGUCAGAGGCCUAACUACGGGCGGGAUGUAUUAUGCUGCUGACAUAU